GGACGCCGUAUGACGGGAAACUGUCACGUACGGUGUUAGGUGGGGGAAAAGGUGGAGAUAAUAUCAAAUCCUUACCUAUCACGC
Molecule: non-coding RNA, 84 nt
Filed under: Priestia endophytica DSM 13796
Lineage: Bacteria; Bacillati; Bacillota; Bacilli; Caryophanales; Bacillaceae
Source: RNAcentral